This 253-nucleotide ribosomal RNA is filed under the name uncultured bacterium. RNAcentral describes it as "partial 16S ribosomal RNA". It matches the Rfam family "Bacterial small subunit ribosomal RNA", at positions 524 to 776 of the family's 1533-position model. The record is from RNAcentral.
UACGGAGGGUGCAAGCGUUAUCCGGAUUUACUGGGUUUAAAGGGUGCGUAGGUGGGUCUGUAAGUCAGUGGUGAAAUCUCCGAGCUUAACUCGGAAACUGCCAUUGAUACUAUAGGUCUUGAAUUAUCUGGAGGUAAGCGGAAUAUGUCAUGUAGCGGUGAAAUGCUUAGAUAUGACAUAGAACACCAAUCGCGAAGGCAGCUUACUACGGAUUGAUUGACACUGAGGCACGAAAGCGUGGGGAUCAAACAGG